Molecule: ribosomal RNA, 501 nt
Filed under: uncultured delta proteobacterium
Lineage: Bacteria; Deltaproteobacteria
Description: bacterial SSU rRNA
Rfam family: Bacterial small subunit ribosomal RNA
Source: RNAcentral
GCAGUCGUACGAGAACUCUUCUGCUUGCAGAAGAUAGUAAAGUGGCGCACGGGUGAGUAACGCGUGGGUAAUCUACCUCCGAAUCUGGGAUAACCCGCCGAAAGGCGAGCUAAUACCGGAUAAUAUCUUUAAACUUCGGUUUUUAAGAUCAAAGGUGGUCUCUACAUGUAAGCUACUGUUUGGAGAUGAGCCCGCGUACCAUUAGCUUGUUGGUAGGGUAAUGGCCUACCAAGGCCGCGAUGGUUAGCUGGUCUGAGAGGAUGAUCAGCCACACUGGAACUGACACACGGUCCAGACUCCUACGGGAGGCAGCAGUGAGGAAUUUUGCGCAAUGGGGGAAACCCUGACGCAGCAACGCCGCGUGAGUGAUGAAGGCUUUCGGGUCGUAAAGCUCUGUCAAGUGGGAAGAACCUGCUGGAUGCUAAUAUCAUCCGGCACUGACGGUACCACUAAAGGAAGCACCGGCUAACUCCGUGCCAGCAGCCGCGGGUAAUACGGGGG